CAAGAGCUGACGUGUGCAGAAGUCCUUCUUGUUCUGGUCCUUGCUCCCGUCUGAGUACCAGCUCCCCAUUGCCCUGAGGGCCAGCGGGCCUGCGGCAGAGGGAAGGAGGAGGAGAAGAAGGAAAUUGUCCCGGAUCCUUGCAGUCUUUCCGUAGGUUGCGGCACUACGCCAGGCAAGAGAAGAGGAAGGAAAUUAACCCCAAUCGGUGAAGGUCGAUUUGAGGGUCUGCUGUAGCAGGUGGCACCACUUGAGGCGAGGGAGGAAGUUUCCUCGGAUCAGUAGAGAUUGCAAGGGUUGUUGGGCGUGGCACACCUCCAGGGGAGGAAGAAGGGACAAAGUGCCUGUCUGGAGGAGGUUAGUGCAACAGUGCCACUCCCUGGGGACACCUGAGGUUGGGGCUGGC
This 403-nucleotide long non-coding RNA is filed under the name Canis lupus dingo (dingo). RNAcentral's name for it is "lncRNA (ENSCAFG00020007347.1)". Lineage: Eukaryota; Metazoa; Chordata; Mammalia; Carnivora; Canidae. The record is from RNAcentral.